RNAcentral lists this RNase P RNA (292 nucleotides) under Neofamilia massiliensis. RNAcentral describes it as "Bacterial RNase P class A". It matches the Rfam family "Bacterial RNase P class A", at positions 37 to 364 of the family's 367-position model. From Rfam's summary of the family: Ribonuclease P (RNase P) is a ubiquitous endoribonuclease, found in archaea, bacteria and eukarya as well as chloroplasts and mitochondria. Lineage: Bacteria; Bacillati; Bacillota; Clostridia; Eubacteriales. The record is from RNAcentral.
UAAAGUGAGGAAAGUCCGUGCUCCUACAAUAGGUGCUGGAUAACGUCCAGUAGGGGUGACCCUAAGGCUAGUGCAACAGAGAUAUACCGCCUUAUUUAUAUAAGGUAAGGGUGGAAAGGUGAAGUAAGAGCUCACCAGCAUAUAAAUGAUUAUAUGGCUAUGUAAACCCCACCUGGAGCAAGAUCAAAUGGGGCAAGCAAUUGUCAGAUGGUAGAUCGCAUGAACUUAUUGGCAACAAUAAGGCUAGAUUAAUGAUUAGAUAACACAGAACACGGCUUAUAGGUUUACUCUU